Molecule: transfer RNA, 70 nt
Filed under: Cordylochernes scorpioides
Lineage: Eukaryota; Metazoa; Arthropoda; Arachnida; Pseudoscorpiones; Chernetidae
Description: tRNA-Thr
Source: RNAcentral
UGAUUAGGGAUGGGAAUCGAACCCUCAGUGUUCCGCUUACCGGGCAGAUGCCAUGUCCACUAGGCUACCC